Molecule: long non-coding RNA, 1576 nt
Organism: Scylla paramamosain (green mud crab)
Lineage: Eukaryota; Metazoa; Arthropoda; Malacostraca; Decapoda; Portunidae
Exons: 2
Source: RefSeq, a predicted model, not a curated record
CAUACUUUGAGACCCUUCCUGCGCCGCACCUCCAUCAUUUCAAAAGGCACUACUAGAAGAUGCAAGGGGUUUUAAGGGUGUUCUUACGGUUUUAAUCAAAGGUUAACAAGAUUCUACAUCAUUAAAAGAAGAAACAGUGUCUUAGGAACCCGGCUAAUCAUCUCUGUGGUUUUUUAAAAUAGUCGUGGUGAGAGAGCAAAGCGUUUCUGAGUAAGAGCCAGUGUCGCGCGGCAGGGAAAGUGCCGUUGCCACACCGCCCCUCACCCUCACCUCGCCUUCACCCCACCAAGGCGACAGUGACAGAGGUCCAGGCACGCGCGGCACCGAUAAGUCUGUGAACUGAGUAUUGUGGGUGACAGGCGUGACGCGCAGUGACACCACUAAUUACACAAGGCUAUACACUGCCUGCUGACACCUGCCCGCCUGCCGCUGUCCACCACGCGGCCACUCAGUCACCAAGCAUGUCUGAUGACUGCAUGCCUGACAGCUUCCCUCCCUGACACCAUGCCUCCCCAAUGACCGUCCCCCCCCUCAGGACACUCCUACAUGGCUGCAAGGACUAUUCAUCUAUAUAAGGAUUGUGUUUCAGGUGUGAUUGUGCUAAUACACUAGAGGUCUUAAUGCUGUACAAGGUAAGUUUGAAAGCCUCUAGAGGUGCUUAUGUUAUGUAUAAUUCCUGAGCCCCUGAGUGUAGUAAGCUGUCCACAAGACUGUCCCUUUCCACCAGGGGCUGACAGGGGUGAGAGUGUGAGUGAUGUGUGUAUGAGGAUGUGGUGCUUAGCCUGGGCCAUCCUGUGUGGGAUAGAUACUUUGUCAUCUUCCAGCCAAUAAGAGCAGCACAAUGUUGUAAACGGUGUCAAUGCAUACUUGUGGUGACGGGACAAUCAAGGGUGACCGAAUCACCUCGGCCUCAGUGAUCAUCUUGGCCUGAAUGGUAACAAUGCAACAGUUAACCAGUAUUCUCAAUCAUUCAUCCCUUACUCUGGUAAACUUUGGAACUCACUGCCUGCUUCUGUAUUUCCUCCUUCAUAUGAUGAAUUCUUUCAAGAGGAAGGUCUCAAGACACUUAUCCUUUUUUUUUCCUCACUCCCUUGGCCAGUGUCCCUCUUACAAAAAAGCUCACUCCAGAGUCCCAGCAGGGGCUCACAGUGCCUCACAGUGCCUGUCCACCUCAUGGCCUUCAGGUCACCUCAGUGCCUCCCUGAUGCCACUGUCCUUCACACUCCACAUGCAGACGUGACAAUCAAAUAUUUUGGAUGACCCUUUUCGACCUUUCAUUAGGGACUGCCACUUCUGUGGGUUCACUUUUUGUUGCCCCAGGCCAGUGCCUCUCUUACAGAAAAUGCUCUUGGUUUAUAAUACAUAUGAUAUUUUUCUUAUUUCCAUUUGUGUUCUUCCAUGUGUGUGUGUGUGUGUGUGUGUGUGUGUGUGUGUGUGUGUGUGUGUGUGUGUGUGUGUGUGUGUGUGUGUGUAUGUGUGUGUGUGUGUGUGUGUGUAUGUGUGUGUGUGUGUGUGUAUGUGUGUGUGUGUGUGUGUGUGUGUGUGUGUGUGUGUGUGUGUGUGUGUGUGUGUGUGU